UUUGGAGUACGCCAAAAAAUCACAAAUUUGGCGAAAAUCACAAACCCAGUGACCGUUAACAGGAAGUUACAUAUAACAAAGAUUAAAUUACAAGUACGUAAAAGGAUUGUUAUUGGUGCAGCCAAGGACGCGUACUGCGAAAUAUAUCGGCAGUACUUACAUGGAAGAACCAUUACUUAAAAGACGUUAUCGACCGUUAGGAAAACCAGGAUUAGGAAGCGCUAUUGCACAUGCAGUUCCAGUGGUUGUAGGGGCAGCAGUUAAAAACCCUGGAUUCUUUCGAAAUUUUAUCUACGCGAAUCCGCCGUUUGCGGGUCCAGCUAUUCGUGACGCUGUUAAUAUGGCAUUUAGGAGGCGUGUUCUUACAAGAACUAGGACUAAGCAGCGUAAACGUAGACAGGGUCGCCGUUAUGCUCGUAAGAGGUGUUAUGCGCUUAGGAGGCGUUAUAGGCGUGUUCGGGCAGAAAUAUUUACGAGAGUUAUUAAGGACUAUGAUGGAUCAGUUGGAGGAACACCAGCUAGUGGCCUAAUUAACACGCUUAGUCCUCUAGGAGGAGUAAUGAAGAUUCUACCCAGUAGUAAACUUUUUAAUCUCCCCGAAAACUUUAGGAAUUUUACACAUUAUAAAAUAUUAAAAUAUAUUGUAAAAUUAAUUCCCGAAGAACACGCCCCAUUCACUGCGUCAGAGGUAGCUCCAGAAUACCGGUAUUUCCACUAACAUACACUAACACAGACCCAUACGUAAGAUUAACGUUUCCUUCAACUAUGACUAACGAGGAUUAACGAUUCAGUUAUAUACGGGACCAGUUUCAUCUCUCUGCAACAGGCCUUAGCCAGAUUGGGGUCCACCGUUUAUGAAUUGAGUCUGACCGUGUGGUUUAUCAAGACGGUGGGAACGGAAUUCCUGCGCAAAUGGGAGCGCCGGGCGAUAAAGGCGAAGGAGGACUUGCGGUAAGUAUAUUUAUUCUAAGUCUGUGAAAUAUGAUGCGAGUUACAAAUGCCCUAAUGAAGGUGACUGUUUUCCGAGAACAACGUGUUUACUAGGUUUAAGUUGGUCUUACUUUGAUACUUAUUAACCUGAGAUGAGCACAGUGACGAGCCUAGACUGUCAAUCAAGGUAAUGUUGCGCUUUGGAUGUUUCUCUUGGUAAAAAAUAGAGGAGUCAAUCCGUUCGGGCGCGAAGUAUCGUCCUUGUGGAGAUCUUGUAAUUUUUUUUAAGUAAGGUGUGAUAGCCGAACGCAAAGCCCGGGCAGAAAAAUCAUUGAGAGUCGAUUUAAACACCGCGCACACAUAGCAUAUUAUUUGCUUGUUGCUUUUUAGUUUUUAUCAUCUACACAUCCAUCCGUUUUAUUUAACAAGUCUGGUAAAUGCACUGUUACUAAGCGUGAGUUCAUCUGUAUAAUUGUCCGCUUGUAUGUGACUGUAGAACUCAAACUGAUUUUGUGAGGUGGUCACAUUGAACUAAUUUUUCUUAAGGAUGCUAGAGUUUCAUCUUAAGAAGAACUGCGCUUAGGAAGGAGCCGAUUGAAUGAACACUUUUUUCCCGCACGUUUGUUUUUCUUAUGAAGCGAAAUGUCAACUUCUUUAAGUUAGUCGUUUUUCGCGAUUUGCAUGAGAACCCUUGAAAAAUUCUAAAAUAUUUAUAAUAUAAAGCUCUUUGUUUUUCAAUCUUGACAGAACAGACACAACAUUGAAUUUGCAGAACAUUUUCGAUAUUCUGUUUUUUUUUUUAAUGAUUUAGGUAUGAGCAAGCUUUGUCCAAACAGUUCAUAAUAUGUGAAAUAUUAAACAUCAUGGUUUAUAUUCUUUGACUACGUGAAUACUUUAACCCGAAGAGGUACUUUGUUUCUUGUAGGAGGGUAUAAUGCUGAUUUGGUAAAUUUGCAAAACCGCUGAAAUAUGGGCUAUCUUGGCAUAUGGUUCAUAUUCCUGGAUCAGAUCAAUACUUUUCUGGAUUGUAGAAUUAUCUAAAAUAGGGAAACGAAAUAUAUGCAACAGGAUAUCGACGUACAACAAAGUUCCAAUACUCGCAUUAGUAACAGAAUAAAUACUUUGAGAGGACCUCUGGAACUGCAACGGAACGCCUGUAACCAUAAUCAAAUAACAAUGAAUAUUACAGGUUAGAUACAAUAUUAAGAGGUUGACAAGAUAAGUGCAGCGUUGCGGCGUGCAGGUAGACAAUGGUAUCCGUAUAACUGCGACGAGGUAGUUAUUGCUAACAGAUCGAAUAAAUCGGUUUGUGGUAUCGUUGAAUGAAAAGUCAAAUUAAUUUGUGAAGAUGCUUAAAAAAGGAAUCGGGAAUUAGUGGGUAAUCUUUUUUUGGCGGAAAUAAAACCACGCGUCGGAGCGUAGGCCCACAUUCGACCUCUAUAAAAUGGGUCUUGCCUUGGUGCUGCCGAACCAUAGUAGAAUUUAACAAGAUUACUGUAAACGCAAACGCCUGCAAUCUAAUAAGUUAGGCUAAGUGUAACGCAAAUAAAACUAUUUUAUCCUCAGGUCAGGGAUGAACUCAGUUAUGCGCUUCAAAAUAAUUCCUACCGCAUUUAGUGCAAACAUGAGACCAUUUUUUCCUGCUUCCAUAAUAGUUCAGGCGCCACAGAAUAAAGACAUCUUUAAAACCUGGGAACAUUUUGCUGCUUUCACGAUUUUGCUUUUAAAUUUUCGAUUGAAAUUCUGAUUUGUGCUUUUUAUCGUAAAAUUAUCGUAAAAUGACAAUGUAUGUCGGUGUAAAGGCUGAGAAGCAGAUUAACUGAAAUGGCGAAAUGCGAUAACUGCAACCGAGUAUCGAGAUUAGAAAAACGUUGCAACUAUAGGGUUUGAAUAACUAAAUAAGGUUUAAAACUGGCGGAUGACUUUGUACAUAGGUAGUGACACUUGUUUGGGAUCACUUACCUAUUUGUGGACUGUUGUUGUUAUUUUAUGUAUAUUUUAUAUAUAUUAUUAUUCCAGUAUUUUUACGGAUUAAUGGCAACACGAAAAUGGAACAGAUGAUACGGAAAUGAGCAGUCAACUGAAAUAUUUCAAUUGGACAAUGCGAUCACUGCGACAGUAUAAUCGUGAUAGGGCUGAAAGUUAUGUUGGAUGUACUCAAAUAAUUCGAACACUCCCAAAAUUACUGCAUUAAUUUAUCUGGGCUUUCUAAACCAGGGAAAUAUAAUUACUGUAAGGUCGUAGCCGUAACGGAACAACGAAAUCGAGAUUGCAUAAUCUCAAGAAAAUUUUAUAACUGUAAAGGUCUACAAUAUAAAUAUUUGAUCGAACGUAAAUCAAAUACACUAAUACUAGAAUAGGCCAAUGAAACAUUGCCACAGGCUAUCGGGUUAGGUGGCGUAAGGUAUUUCCAGUAAGGUAAUUAUUGGUUUAUAAUAUAAUUCAGGCUAGGCUGGGUGUAAAAUUAUGAAUCAAAUUGGCUCAAUUAACGGAAAAACAAGCAUGAAACAAAGCCGUCCGCUCGGUCUAAUAUCUACCUACAUAUUUAGCUAAUUACUUACUAAAACUCUGCACCCGUCUGUUUGUUUAGCUGCUUGUUUAUUGGACCCGAAUCGCUUUUUUAAAGUAAUUGCAUUGAGGUGACUGAUGGGUUUCUAGAAAUUCAUGUAAGGGAGACCUGUCGGUAACAUGGAAGGUACUGAUAAAUACUUUUGCAGGAGAGUUUCUUUAAAGCAUGAAGGAGAAUAAACUAUAUUUAUCGCUACAGCGGGGCAGCUGGGGUGCUAGAAUAUCUUAAUAAAAAAAUGGGGUACGUGGAGAAUAGUAAUAGCAACGGGAUGAAAUGGCAGUCAAAUAUUUACCUGGACGUAAUAAAGUGGAAAUCUGUUUCAAAAAAAUUCUAAAUUUUUCAUGAGCGGAUGUCUAAUAUAUGUAAAUUAAGAAGUCGAAGUGGCUGAUAUGGCAAACGUUUUGAUAAAUUUUUUUUUGGAAACUUCUCCUAGUAAUUUUUUGAUUGACACAAACGUAUUGCUACAGUUUUCUCUAUGCAAAGUACCACUUCUUUUUUUUUGACACCAGUCUAGCAAUUUCGACGAGCCGACUAAAAGUAUAUAUAUAUUCCGAUGCCUAAGAUAGGUAUUUCGGAAUGAAAAGGGCCAAAAAACAGAAUGCCGUCUUCUGCUUUGGUUCUGUCACUCGGAUAAAGCCUUUUUACAUGAAAGUCUACGUAUAGGGUUUUUCUUAGAACUAAUCCACAACGCUCGACGAGCUGAAUUGAAAUGUAAUUAAUGUUGCUAUACUUAAAGUUUUCAGUGUGCAAAUGCCAUUUAUGGGCGAAAAUUUAACAUGAUCCUCUAUAUAAGAGAGACGCUUUUCGCUAUCAACCAAUGGAUCCCGACGAGCGAAUAAAAAUUCUGUGUAUGUCUUAACAUCUAAAAUGGAUAUCUCAGUAUGAAAAUGCCAAAAAUACGCUAGUCGUACCAAUUUAAGUAAAAGUAAAGUUAAAAUUGGUUUCAGUGUAGUUUUGAGCCAUUUAUUAAUCAAUGUGCAUUCAAAGAUUAAGGUAGAUACAAUACAAAUAAAAUUCGUUCAUUUAGAACGGGUCGACAAAAUAGCUGGCAAAGCAUAAUGAGGUAAGUGGUAUAGUAACUGCAACGGGUUAUUUGUAAAUAAUUCUAAACUACGUGAAGCGUCAGCAAAUUAAGGUAGUCAAACAGGUAACGCAACACAAACGCUAGGCAAAGCCCGCGAAUUAGUCAAGUUUAUCUACUUAACUAGUAAAAGUCCUAGGUAGGUGAUUUCGUUCGGCCCAAGUAGCUGAUUAGGGUGAACAGAUUCGACAAAUUUUUUCUUGUUCGGUAUAGCUCCGCCCUGCAAGAAGUAGUGCUUAGGAUGGAGCCAAUUGAAUAAAUGCUUCUAAUUCUAGAGGAAAAGAUUUGGUUUCUCUCUAUUUUUAUUUACUUUGUUUAAAAACAAUGUCGUAAUGCUCGUUAAAAACUACCGUGAUCCGGGCUAUACGGCGGAUGUAUCUAAAUUUCCCAUCCGAAUUCUCUUAGCUUUUGCCAGAUAGUUAAAGGUGUAUACGAUCCGGCAAUGACGCCCCAUCUGUUAACUAUUCCGGUCGAUUUUUUUAAUGGCUUGUUGUUAUCUUGCUAGGUAGUGACAACAGAUGUCCGAAUCAAUUGUUUGCCGGAUAACAACUUACAAUGCACCACUCUUUUUCAGUCCAACCGGACACAUAGCAUACAUUUUUGGCGUUGGCCCGGAUCAUAUCACAAAGUGUGUAGUACAUGUUUUUUUUUUCGCACAUCACUGUUGUAUGUGAACCUUCUUCAUUACCCGUGAUAUAUCGCCACAGAAUUUGUUGCCUGAUUUUGUUUCUGUAAAGUUUCGCAGAUGACUUGCUUCAAAUGUUCAAAAAUUAUUUGGUGGUAGAUGCUUAACUCCUUAAUAAUGUUGUGGCUACCUAUGUAUCACAAGCUUCUUUCUGUAGCUAGCAUUCACCAGUUAAAAAUUGUUUCAUGACAAAUGUUUAGUUCCUCGGCGAUGUAAUGGCUUCCCGUGACUACCAAUGGCUCUGCUUUUGGCUUAUGCUUUUAGUCCAUGGCUUGACUCACGCAACAAUUUCAUCAUUUUCUUUCAUAACUGAUUGACAACUACGAAAAGUAUCUUUGACAUUGAAAUUCCCAGAAUGAAAGCAAUAAAAUAAUUUGUGAGCCGAUUUUUUUCAAUAAUCAUCUUGGCUAUAAGCAGCUUGAGCGAAAUGUGUGCUCUUA
Molecule: non-coding RNA, 5705 nt
Organism: Varroa destructor (honeybee mite)
Lineage: Eukaryota; Metazoa; Arthropoda; Arachnida; Mesostigmata; Varroidae
Source: RefSeq, a predicted model, not a curated record